CGCGGCUCUGCGGGACCAGACUGCGCUUCCCAGCCGGCUCCGCCGGGGAGAGCCGCGCGGAAGAGCCCCGCAGCGAGGGGCUGGGGUCGCCCGGCCCGGCCCGAGCCGCCGGCCCCGGGGAAAAGGAACAGGAACAGCUACAACAUCUGUGGACCCUACAGGAUCCGUACUAGACCAAGGUGGCCACCAAGGCAACUCCCUUCUGCCUAUGCUGGGGACCUGGCAGAGGACGAGGUGGAGGCUGCGGUGCACCAGGGGACCACAUGGACACACUGCUGGGGACAGAGCAUGGUGGCAGUGACAACCCCUUGCCACCCUGGGACCUCAGGAGCAGCGGAGAGAGCCCUUAUCCCUGAAGCACUCCCAUGGCAGAGAGCCCUAUAAAGGCCAAGGCACAGGAGGGGCUUUGUGCCCCACACCAGCUCAGACACUGCAGACCCCCACGGGUCAGUGCCCCAGUGGGACCCUCCUCUGGCACUGGAGAAAUCGGGCACCUCGGGAACGGGGUGGGGGAUACACCCAGGAGGGGGAGGUUGGCAUCACAGGCAGUCAUCAGCACUUGCUAAGGUUAAAUCGAUGGGACCACUUGCCCUGGGUGCUCGUGCUGUUCCCUGGGACCUUCUCCCAUCCCCGUCCAUCACUGGGAGCAUCACGGCGUUGGUCACCCCUGUGCUCAGGGCUGGUGGGGUGGACAGGACAGACACCCCUGCACCAGGUGAGCAUCCUGCCCCCACUGCACCCUGAUGGCAGGAGGGGGCUUGGGGCUCACCUGUCCCCUGGCAGGGGAUGACGGGCACCUGGAGUCCUACACUGACCCUGGUGGAAGCAAACCAGUCCUUCAGCCACAGUGUAUUCCCCAGGAGGGCACUACAGGGGGGUGAAAGCCUGAAUCUGUCCUUUGCAGCAUUCAACAGCAUCAUUCCCUUCUCCUGUCCCCAAAACUGGUCCAUCCACUGGCCGUGGCAGAAUCCUUCAGGAUUUUUCUGGCCAGCGCUGGGCACAGGGCAGGCCCACAGCCAGGGCGAGCUGCCACUGGCCCUGGAGCUACAACCACGCAUCAGGAGUCUGAUGUUCAAAUAUUGUUUGUUCACAGGAUACAACUCUGAACUGAGCUAGGAGAGCCGUGUCCAGGUUCCUUGGUGGCAGAUAAGCCGGACCGAGGUUGUGGCUGGGCUGGCAGCCGGUGGUUGCUUAGGAACUGCACUUGCAGCAAGCAAAUGAGCGAGGCGAAAUAACACCUAGCUGUUUGUCACUUCAAAGCAGCCUCGUUUCCCGCAGUUGUCUGUGGGGAAAAGAAUUUCAGCAGGAAAAUGCAACUGGAAGGUAGGAGCCACCCGAGACAUGGCCUGUUCAGGGUGAAGUGAUGAGGAGAGAGGCCCCCUAAAGAUGUCACAGCACUCACAAAGAUGCUCCAAUUCCAUGCAUGCUUUCUCCAGCAUGCAAGGAUGCAGCAAGCAGUUAGAGGGGAGAAAAAGCCACAGCUGGCAGGGCCAAAGUUCAAAAACGUGGGGCUGAACAAAGUGAGGAAGCUCAAGGGCAACCCAAAAAAGCAGGCAGACCCGUGGGAGGGGGGCAUGCACAAUGUUCCCAGCAGGGUCCUGAUGUCCCCAUCACGGGCAGCCAGCAGCUGGUCUGGAGCCUGUGGGUGCUGCAAGGACAGAAGUGUCCCCAGCCGCGGGACAUGUAGGGCAUGGCUCCACUGACAGCCACCCACUGCCUGCCAGCCCCGGCGGGUGCAGGAUGGUGUCUGGCUCUGCUCGCUGCCUUUCAUGCCACCGUUCUGCCAUGUCACAAAGCGCUGGUCUCAGCACCCCCCCAGUUCCAGCCCCAGAAAGGUCUCCACGGCCAUGGCAGAGCACCCGCAGUGCCCAGUCCUGUGUGAAUAACCAGGAGCCUGCCAGGAUUUUUUGACUGAUACUGGCAAUCUCAGAGGACACCUCAACUCGAGCCUCGAGGAUCUUCAAACAACAUUUAUUUUGUUAGCCCCAGAAGGUCCCACUGCAGGGACAGGCAUUUCUGACCCGAGGCUCUCCAGGACCCAACGUGGCACCAACAGCCAUGUCCGUCAAGUGUUUUCCUCCUGCUCCCGGGGCCACACAGUGCCACGGCAUGGGCACAGCAGGGUGACUGAGCUCCUCCCAGCCCACCCAUAGCAAAGGAUGAUAAUAAAGGGGCAGAAACAUUUUGAAA
Long non-coding RNA from Oxyura jamaicensis (ruddy duck), 2190 nucleotides. RefSeq lists it as uncharacterized. Lineage: Eukaryota; Metazoa; Chordata; Aves; Anseriformes; Anatidae. The record is from RefSeq and is a predicted model, not a curated record. The transcript has 3 exons.